Molecule: long non-coding RNA, 401 nt
Organism: Cotesia glomerata
Lineage: Eukaryota; Metazoa; Arthropoda; Insecta; Hymenoptera; Braconidae
Exons: 3
Source: RefSeq, a predicted model, not a curated record
CAUAUCUUAUCUCUGUCGAGAUAUUCUUCAUCGAUUCUCUUCAGUUUUGAUCGCGCCAAAACGGCUUACAUUGACGUAGAUCGUGCUGAACUAAGGAAUGACGAAAAUGCACAUCCAGCGGCGGCUGCUGGCGGUUUAAUCUAUAAUUCUCAAAUUUGCCUGGCUUGUUCAGACGAGGAAUCACCACCGGACGUCGUCUACAACCCUUGCCAGCACUGUAUUUUUUGUCAAGCAUGUCAAAGACAGUACGUGCAAAGUCUGCUUGGAGAUGGGCAAAUUUUAACAUGUAGUUACUGCCGACAAGAGGUUGUCUCAGUUGACUUGCUUAUUUAAAAAUAUUAAUCCUCAUUACUUAUUAUGUCUUUAAUUUAAAUUUAAUUUUGUUAAAGAAACUUAAAUUU